This is a long non-coding RNA of Paramisgurnus dabryanus, 677 nucleotides long. RefSeq lists it as uncharacterized. Lineage: Eukaryota; Metazoa; Chordata; Actinopteri; Cypriniformes; Cobitidae. The record is from RefSeq and is a predicted model, not a curated record.
UUUGUGUAACCCAACUUGUUGGGUUAUAUGUUGGGUAAUUUUGAAGCAGAGCCAGCUUAAUAGAUACAUAGCUGUUUCUCAAUAUUACUUUCUCUAGUCCACAAAAUGUAUUUUAAACAUAAGUUCAGGCGAGAAUAUAUAUGUAUAAUGUUCAAAUUUGCAGUCGGUUUGUAAAGUGAACGCCAAUUUUAAAGUUUAAUUACACAAAGUCGGAAUGUUACCGGCGUGACCACCGGGUGUCAGUGUUCUGCUUCCCCAGAGAGAACUGCUCCCUUCCCCCACACAGAGCAGCUGAACUUCUGCCUCUCACUGCAACGGUACCUGAAGCGGGAGUUUACUAUUCACCUCAGGAUUCAUGAACAGUUUUUCAUCGACUUAUCUCUGAUUUAUUUGAAGGAAAAGACCCUGAUGGAUAAAAGAUGGAUAUUUUUUCCUGGAGAAGCUAAAACAAUGUAACUUUGAGGUUCUGAUACCAGCUUUUACAAAGUUAUUUACAGAGUUCACCAGACUUCUCUGUGUUAUUUCCUGACCAUGCCGAAAAGCUAUUUGAAACUUGGGCAUUGCAUUUUCCAGACAGAAUCCUGCACUUCCCAGCCAAGAACCAGGAGCAUCAACAAAUCACCUACAGAACCCCAUGAUGAUAUUCCAACUCCUGUCUACAAAAGUGGGAAGAAAAU